This is a long non-coding RNA of Lycium ferocissimum, 1497 nucleotides long. RefSeq lists it as uncharacterized. Lineage: Eukaryota; Viridiplantae; Streptophyta; Magnoliopsida; Solanales; Solanaceae. The record is from RefSeq and is a predicted model, not a curated record. The transcript has 3 exons.
UCAGUAGCUUCACUAGCUAGUACCUUUAGCUGUCUAUUGGGUACAUAUUAUAGUGGAUUUUAGCCAAAUGAAUUGCAGGGUAUUAUAGUCAUUCAUCACGACAAUUGAUUAAUAUCUCCCUCUACAGAUCUGUUCUUCCCCAAUUUUCAAUGUAGCAACUCAAACCCUAGCUCAAUCACUAUGGCAUCUUCUUCUUUUGCCAGUGUUUCAGCACUAAAAUCAACUCAUUAUGUGAUGGUUGAAUCAGGGAGCAUUAAGCGGAUUGUUGACCCAAUUCCUUUAUUAUGUAAUUUUCUUUUAUCAGGUUCCCAAGCUGUUGUGGGUAUAUAUGCUCAUUUACAGCAAGUGAAAUCCUUGCUAUGGAUGGAAAUUAAUGGUACUCGAAUGGUUGGUAUCUGGGUAUGGGAGGAGUAGGAAAGACGAUAUUUAUAAGAGCCAUUUGGAUGGCUUCUCUGAUCAGGGCAUUCUGGUUGGUUUGGUAAUGGCAGUAGAAUUACCAUAACAACUAGAGACAGUCAUUUGAUAGGGAAGAAUGAAGAAGUAUAUGAAGUGACUACACUUCGGUGUCUGCACAAAUAGCUUUGAGUGUAGCCAUGGAUUUUUUUAUAAGAGUUUUCAACAAAUUUAGCAAGAAAUCUCGGUAGUAGAAGAUGAAAUAGUAGAAGAAGAGAAGCUCGUUAGUGCAAAGGCUGGGUCUGUUCUGGGAGCAUUUGCCUAAAUAUGGUGCAAGAGAUCCGGAACCACAUUCACGGUCUGGAAGAGAGGAAGCUCCAAGCGAGUUGCAUGCCCCUGAUAAGGAGCAUCGACGCAAAAACUGAGUCAAAGUGAGAGGAGGUGACCCAAUUGGUCUGCUAUUAUUAUAGGCCCUCCACCACUGCUUGGCUAGCCCAAUCAUAUGAAAAGUGGUAUAAUGACAUUGUGGGAUUCUACCAAUUCCAAGUUGUGCAACGUCUUGUGACAAUUUAAAAUAAGCUACGGUGGAUUGGAGCCUAUAGAGCAAGAGAUAUUUCUAGAUUUAGUAUGUUUCUUUCGAGGGUAUGGUUCCUUGAGAGUUGUGGAUUUGAACCUACUAUCGGAUUAAGUAUCCUAAUUGAAAAAUCUCUUGUGUUCGUCUCUGAAGAAUAUACAAUUCAAAUGUAUGAAUUGAUACAAGAUAUGGGUAAAUAUGCAGUUAAUAUGAAAAAUGAUCCUGGAGGACAUAACAGACUAUGGCGCGGUGAAGAUUUGGAAGACGUGAUGAUCAACAGUACAGUGACUAAAGCAAUAGAGGCAAUCUGGAUUCGUUAUCCUCCAAACCUAUGUUUUAGCAAAGACACCAUGAAAAAUAUGAAAAGACAUGGUAUAUUACGCAUAGAUAAUGUGAUGACUGUUUGAUCCAUGAUGGCUUAAUAGAUAAUGCGAUGGAUGUUAUGAGUUGCCAUGAUAGCUCUAUCGGUUAUUUGUCCAACAACUUGUGUUGGUCUGUCGGGGAUUGCUAUCCUUUGGGACCGCUUCCAU